GAUGAACGCUAGCUACAGGCUUAACACAUGCAAGUCGAGGGGCAGCACAGUGUAGCAAUACAUGGGUGGCGACCGGCGCACGGGUGCGUAACGCGUAUCCAACCUUCCCGAUACUCAGGGAUAGCCUUCCGAAAGGGAGAUUAAUACCUGAUGGUGUUUCAAUUCCGCAUGUUAAUGAAACUAAAGAUUUAUCGGUAUCGGAUGGGGAUGCGUGACAUUAGAUAGUAGGCGGGGUAACGGCCCACCUAGUCUACGAUGUCUAGGGGUUCUGAGAGGAAGGUCCCCCACACUGGAACUGAGACACGGUCCAGACUCCUACGGGAGGCAGCAGUGAGGAAUAUUGGUCCAAUGGUCGAGAGACUGAACCAGCCAAGUCGCGUGAGGGAAGACUGCCCU
This 396-nucleotide ribosomal RNA is filed under the name uncultured bacterium. Its description in RNAcentral is "bacterial SSU rRNA". It matches the Rfam family "Bacterial small subunit ribosomal RNA", at positions 28 to 418 of the family's 1533-position model. The record is from RNAcentral.